CCUACGGGCGGCAGCAGUGAGGAAUAUUGGUCAAUGGCCGGAAGGCUGAACCAGCCAAGCCGCGUGAAGGACGAAGGUGCCAAGCAUUGUAAACUUCUUUUGUCAAGGGACAAAAUCAGGCUCGAGAGCCUGACCGAGGGUACUUGAAGAAAAAGCAUCGGCUAACUCCGUGCCAGCAGCCGCGGUAAUACGGGGGAUGCGAGCGGUAUCCGGAUUUAGUGUGGUUAAAGGGUGCGUCGGCGGAGUGUUACGUCAGCGGGAAAAGCCCGGGGCUCAACCCCGGCGAGCCGUUGAAACUGGCUGGCUUGAGAUGUCGAGAGGUAUGCAGAAUGCGCAGUGUAGCGGUGAAAUGCUUAGAUAUUGCGCAGAACUCCGAGUGCGAAGGCAGCAUACCGGCGGCGAUCUGACGCUGAGGCACGAAAGCGUGGGUAUCGAACAGGAUUAGAUACCCCAGUAGUC
Molecule: ribosomal RNA, 459 nt
Filed under: uncultured bacterium
Lineage: Bacteria
Description: partial 16S ribosomal RNA
Rfam family: Bacterial small subunit ribosomal RNA
Source: RNAcentral